GCAAGUCGAGCGGCAGCAGGUCCUUCGGGACGCUGGCGAGCGGCGGACGGGUGAGUAGCGCGUGGGAAUCUGCCCAUCGGUGGGGGAUAGCCCGAGGAAACUCGGAUUAAUACCGCAUACGCCCUACGGGGCAAAGUGGACCUCUGAUUCAAGUUCAUGCCGAUGGAUGAGCCCGCGGCCGAUUAGCUAGUUGGUGGGGUAAAGGCCUACCAAGGCGACGAUCGGUAGCUGGUCUGAGAGGACGAUCAGCCACACCGGAACUGAGACACGGUCCGGACUCCUACGGGAGGCAGCAGUGGGGAAUAUUGGACAAUGGGCGAAAGCCUGAUCCAGCAAUGCCGCGUGGGUGAAGAAGGCUUGCGGGUUGUAAAGCCCUUUCAGCAGGGAGGAAAAACAUUCGGUUAAUACCCGGAUGAAUUGACGUUACCUGCAGAAGAAGCACCGGCUAACUCCGUGCCAGCAGCCGCGGUAAUACGGAGGGUGCAAGCGUUAAUCGGAAUUACUGGGCGUAAAGCGCGCGUAGGCGGUCGGAUAAGUUGGAUGUGAAAGCCCUGGGCUCAACCUGGGAAUUGCAUUCGAUACUGUCUGGCUAGAGUUUG
This 599-nucleotide ribosomal RNA is filed under the name Alkalilimnicola sp. SV 12.18. RNAcentral describes it as "bacterial SSU rRNA". It matches the Rfam family "Bacterial small subunit ribosomal RNA", at positions 57 to 650 of the family's 1533-position model. Lineage: Bacteria; Pseudomonadati; Pseudomonadota; Gammaproteobacteria; Chromatiales; Ectothiorhodospiraceae. The record is from RNAcentral.